Molecule: ribosomal RNA, 160 nt
Filed under: uncultured bacterium
Lineage: Bacteria
Description: partial 16S ribosomal RNA
Rfam family: Bacterial small subunit ribosomal RNA
Source: RNAcentral
UGGGGAAUUUUGGACAAUGGGCGCAAGCCUGAUCCAGCAAUGCCGCGUGAGUGAAGAGGGCCUUCGGGUUGUAAAGCUCUUUUGUCAGGGAAGAAACGGACUUUUCUAAUACAGAGGUCUAAUGACGGUACCUGAAGAAUAAGCACCGGCUAACUACGUG